UGGGGAAUAUUGGACAAUGGGCGAAAGCCUGAUCCAGCCAUGCCGCGUGCGUGAAGAAGGUCUUCGGAUUGUAAAGCACUUUAAAUUGGGAGGAAGGGCAGUAAGUUAAUACCUUGCUGUUUUGACGUUACCGACAGAAUAAGCACCGGCUAACUCUGUGCCAGCAGCCGCGGUAAUACAGAGGGUGCAAGCGUUAAUCGGAAUUACUGGGCGUAAAGCGCGCGUAGGUGGUUUGUUAAGUUGGAUGUGAAAUCCCCGGGCUCAACCUGGGAACUGCAUCCAAAACUGGCAAGCUAGAGUAUGGUAGAGGGUGGUGGAAUUUCCUGUGUAGCGGUGAAAUGCGUAGAUAUAGGAAGGAACACCAGUGGCGAAGGCGACCACCUGGACUGAUACUGACGCUGAGGCGCGAAAGCCAGGGGAGCAAACGGGGAUUAGAUACCCUGGUAGUCCCUGAGCGGGCUGGCAAGGCGCAU
This 473-nucleotide ribosomal RNA is filed under the name uncultured bacterium. RNAcentral describes it as "bacterial SSU rRNA". It matches the Rfam family "Bacterial small subunit ribosomal RNA", at positions 355 to 825 of the family's 1533-position model. The record is from RNAcentral.